This 321-nucleotide unclassified non-coding RNA is filed under the name plant metagenome. RNAcentral describes it as "partial contains 5.8S ribosomal RNA, internal transcribed spacer 2, and large subunit ribosomal RNA". The stretch from base 1 to 105 matches the Rfam family "5.8S ribosomal RNA", at positions 50 to 154 of the family's 154-position model. The record is from RNAcentral.
GAAAUGCGAUAAGUAAUGUGAAUUGCAGAAUUCCGUGAAUCAUCGAAUCUUUGAACGCACAUUGCGCCCUCUGGUAUUCCGGGGGGCAUGCCUGUCCGAGCGUCAUUGCACACCCUCAAGCGCGGCUUGUGUGUUGGGCCCCCGCGUCCUUGCCAUUUAAAGGACGGGCCCGAAAGGCAGUGGCGGCGUCGCGGUUAUCCGAUCAGCCAGAGCGUAUGGGGACUCUGUCACACGCUCGCGGCGCGGACCGACGCUGGCCUGGUCACUAAAUUCUUCCACGGUUGACCUCGGAUCAGGUAGGGAUACCCGCUGAACUUAAGC